AUUCAUCUCUCCAAGAAGAUGUGCCCUAGCACACCUGAGGACAUUGAACGCAUGAGCAAGAUCCCUUAUGCUUCUGCAAUAGGGAGCCUCAUAUAUGCCAUGCUAUGUACACACCUGAUAUAGCCCAUGCUGUGAGUGUCACAAGCAGAUAUCAGUCGAAUCCAGAUGAAGAGUACUAGACUUCUGUGAAAUGUAUCCUUAAGUACUUGAGAAGGACUAAGGAUAUGUUUCUAGUCUUUGGGAAUGGAGAACUCCAGGUUCAGAGAUUUACAGACUCAGACUUUAUGUCUGAUAUAGAUGAUCGAAAGUCGACAUCUGGGAGUCUAUUCAUUUGCAAUGGUGGUGCA
RNAcentral lists this long non-coding RNA (347 nucleotides) under Elaeis guineensis (African oil palm). RNAcentral's name for it is "long non-coding RNA (EGUI_LNC082842)". The record is from RNAcentral. Lineage: Eukaryota; Viridiplantae; Streptophyta; Magnoliopsida; Arecales; Arecaceae.